CCUACGGGCGGCAGCAGUGGGGAAUAUUGGGCAAUGGGCGCAAGCCUGACCCAGCAACGCCGCGUGAAGGAUGAAGGCUUUCGGGUUGUAAACUUCUUUUGACAGGGAAGAGUAGAAGACGGUACCUGUCGAAUAAGCCCCGGCUAACUACGUGCCAGCAGCCGCGGUAAUACGUAGGUGGCAAGCGUUUUCCGGAUUUACUGGGUGGAAAGGGCGUGUAGCCGGGUUGACAAGUCAGAUGUGAAAUCCUCCGGCUUAACCGCAGAACUGCAUUUGAAACUGUUGAUCUUGAGUACUGGAGAGGCAGACGGAAGUCCUAGUGUAGCGGUGAAAUGCGUAGAUAUUAGGAGGAACACCAGUGGCGAAGGCGGUCUGCUGGACAGCAACUGACGGUGAGGCGCGAAAGCGUGGGGAGCAAACAGGAUUAGAUACCCUUGUAGUC
RNAcentral lists this ribosomal RNA (442 nucleotides) under uncultured bacterium. RNAcentral describes it as "partial 16S ribosomal RNA". It matches the Rfam family "Bacterial small subunit ribosomal RNA", at positions 338 to 795 of the family's 1533-position model. The record is from RNAcentral.